RNAcentral lists this transfer RNA (68 nucleotides) under bovine gut metagenome. It matches the Rfam family "tRNA". Rfam says of the family: Transfer RNA (tRNA) molecules are approximately 80 nucleotides in length. Their secondary structure includes four short double-helical elements and three loops (D, anti-codon, and T loops). The record is from RNAcentral.
CGGGUGUAGUUCAGUGGUAGAACACCAGCUUCCCAAGCUGGUUAUGCGGGUUCGAUUCCCGUCAUCCG